Molecule: transfer RNA, 72 nt
Filed under: Ictidomys tridecemlineatus (thirteen-lined ground squirrel)
Lineage: Eukaryota; Metazoa; Chordata; Mammalia; Rodentia; Sciuridae
Description: Spermophilus tridecemlineatus (thirteen-lined ground squirrel) tRNA
Rfam family: tRNA
About the family: Transfer RNA (tRNA) molecules are approximately 80 nucleotides in length. Their secondary structure includes four short double-helical elements and three loops (D, anti-codon, and T loops).
Source: Rfam by way of RNAcentral
AGGGUUGUGGCUCAGUGGUAGAGCGCCUGCCUCAUACAUGUGAGGCACUGAGUUUGAUUCUCAGCAUCACAU